RNAcentral lists this long non-coding RNA (1483 nucleotides) under Fukomys damarensis (Damara mole-rat). RNAcentral's name for it is "lncRNA (ENSFDAG00000026702.1)". The record is from RNAcentral. Lineage: Eukaryota; Metazoa; Chordata; Mammalia; Rodentia; Bathyergidae.
CCACACUUCAUGGGCACGAGGGUGCCUGCCUGUGGGAUGCUCUGCUCGUCUGGGAGCGCGGAAGGAGAGACCGAACCCGAUUCCGGGACGGGGAGGGGACGCGGUGCCGCACUGCUCAGGGUGCCCAGCACCCCGGCUUCAACGCCUAGCGCCGCCCCUGAUUCCUUCAGUCACCUGUGUAAUGCUCGGUGCUUUGAAAUCUCUCCGAUCUGAAGCACUCGGUUACUGAUGGCUGAGAAAAUAUGGGAGGGAGCACAAUCAGUUCUCCAAUCACGAACACGCACUGCACCGGCAGGGUCUCGGCUUUGCUGCAGGCCUCCCUGCAUGCACAGUGCCGAAGUGCGCCGUGACCGUCACUCGCCUCAACGCCCGGUCGCAGCGCAGCCUUCCUGGGGCGUGCGAGGUGUCCUGACAGUUCACACGCACAGUGCCAGUCAUGGGCACGGGCGGUGCUGAGGCGACGAUGUCGCUGGUGGGACCGGCGUUGGUGUGAGUGGCCAAGGCUGAAACUGCGCGUCCUCCGCAGCUGAAGCACAGCUGUGACCGCCACGGACUGCGGCAUGCACUGGUUUCAGCGAUGCUGAAAGGCGAGAAAAAUGUACCUCUCAGAAUGGCUGGAAUGGGCGCGCACACGCGGGCGACGCAAACCGCACCGAGAGGACGUUGUCUGCUCACAAAGGCCUUCUUGUCGCUGUUCCCAUCCGACAGCCUCACGCACACUCCAGUGCUGCGCUGCUGUUGGCUUGGGCUGGCCUGGUUUUGUGCGCUGGACGCCAGCGUGAGCACACUUCUCAUGAAAGGGGAACACGGACGCCGGCGCGGGCCCCUGCAGGAGCGCUUCCUCUCUCUGCCCCCUCCAGCAGGUGAGGACGAGCCCUGGGCGGCCCGGACUGCGCAGCAGGCUGACCAUAGUCAGACUUCACUGGCCCAGGCCCAAGGGCGCAGGGAAGGCACAGCUCUUGGACCCGGGAGGCAAAGCCGAGAGGCCUCCCAGGCUCCGUGCUGCGCCCUGUGGCAGAGGCGUGGCACAGCGUCGCGCUGCCCACCUCCCCAGCCCUGGACCCAUGGGCUUCCCUCGGGCACUGUAAUGCUGGCUUUAGGCGUCACCUUCUGUAGUCAUUUCCUUGAAAUCACCCUCAGAGGCAGCAUCUCUUCUUCAUUUUGUCCUUUCCAGAUUUUUACUGUCCAGCAGUCGGGAGAUCCCAGAGAGCGAGAAGCCUGUCCGGUGGUCACUGACCAGUGGCCCGUGCGAUGUUUGGCCACACAUGGGACUCCAUGUGCCGACCUCAGCCUCCAGCUACAGGGCAGGGCCACGCAAGCUCCUCUGCGGAUUGACGUGAGGCCACACAGGCAGUGCCACAGGCCGGGGAGAGAGGGACGCAGGCCUGAGAGUGAGGACCCAAGGAACCAUGCUCCUCCUCAGGGCCCUGCGCCCCUCCAGUCCCUGCCACCUCAGUCACCUUGGAGGUGCCGGAAGUCCUAA